UUUUUUCUCUAAUUACUAAACCUCUCUUUGUGGAAGUGUAGUUGGUUACAAGCUCUAACUUAGUGUUUUAGGGAACUAAGAUGUGAUAUUUAAGUCUCGUCUUGCUCAUUUGUGUUUGCGUCAGAGUUUGAGAACCUCAGCUUUAGCCUGACGCUUCAUGAGGUUUGACUUCCUGUAUUUUUGCAGCAAGUAGGAUUUGAGACAUAGCAUUGUGAGCGUGUGAGGGGGCCUAACGUUCCAUUGAACUCCAGAUCAACACCUGUUCAACAGUAGAAACGGAUGAUGGCAAUGGUGACUAACGGAUUUGGGUGUUUACCAGUUCUUGUUUUCCUGCUGACUUUGAGCAGUUCAGUCACGUCAAGACCUCUUAGGAUGAAAAGGGAAAUUAGUCACAAUGUGACAUCGAUAAACACCAACGACACACGGAGUACAGCAACCGUAGCUGAAGUUGAGAAUGCAAGAAGCACCACUGUGGAAACUUUGAAGGCUUCGAGUACGUUACAGACAGUUGAGGUGAAAACUUUAAAACCUGAUUUAAAGGUCUCAGCAUCUACAGAUUACCUUCAUACCCCAGAUUUGAACCACACCCAACAAAACUACUCUGCAGGAACCGAGAACCUGACAGUUCACCGGCCAACAGAUAAUGAGAGUACUUUUCACACCCAACUUCCCAAAAUAAAUAUUAGUACUGGACACAUUUCACAUGCAGGAAGUUCUGCCCCCACAUUUCCUGCAUCGUUGAAGCCCAGUAAGGUAACGGAGAAGCACAUGACAGCAGCGACAAGAAGAAUGUCCACAGAUGCAAAAGGACAUACUACUGAAGUUACCUCAACAGCCACCAAAAAAUCAACCACAGCAAUGCCCCACUCAUGUUCCACUGCCUCUUCUCAAGGGGACGGACUUGUGAGCCGUUGCCUCAUCGCAAUCGCCUCGAUGGCAGCGUUGACAACCAUCUUUAUCAUUAGCACCAUCUGCUUGGCUACGAAACUCUCGGGAUACAGAUACAGGCACAAGGCGCAGCUUCUCCAGGAGACUGAGAUGGUCUGCAUAUCUGCCCUGAUGAAUGAUACCGAUCACCCUGUUCCAAAGCCAAGACGACAUCCCAAAGGUAAUGGAGCAUUGAUCCCGAAUACUGAGGAUGGAGAUCCUGAUGGAGAUAAUCUCACUCUAAACAGUUUUCUACCUGAUACCGAAGGCCCUCUUUAGAAGUUGAAAUCUUUCUGUAUGCACUGGGAACCAGCGCUUUAUUGAUGGAUCACAGAGUUUUUUACUCUCAAACAUGAAGUCAGUGCUCAGGUUUGACACAAACCCAGCUCUUGAAUGGUUUGCACUGUCAAAAAAAAUCCACAGUAUAUCUGUGGUGCAGGUUUAUCAGUUUUCUAGGGAGUUUCAGUAAUCUGAAAUAAAUUCAGUAAUCUGAUGCCUGGCUUUGAAGUGCCAUUUUAUGCUUUGUUGUACAAUAAUGAACAUUCCAUGUCUUUUAUUUAAUCAGUGGAACAUUUAUAUUGUAAUUUUUUUUUUUUUUGCAUGUGUGAAGAUGUUGUAAUGUUAUAUUUAAUCAGUGUUGAAAUGUACUACUAUGUUCUCUAAGGAGCA
Sinocyclocheilus rhinocerous is the source of this 1596-nucleotide RNA transcript. It is a transcript of the gene named P-selectin glycoprotein ligand 1-like, with no coding region annotated. Lineage: Eukaryota; Metazoa; Chordata; Actinopteri; Cypriniformes; Cyprinidae. The record is from RefSeq and is a predicted model, not a curated record. The transcript is spliced from 3 exons.